GAUGAACGCUGGCGGCGUGCCUAAUACAUGCAAGUCGAGCGAACAGACGAGGAGCUUGCUCCUCUGACGUUAGCGGCGGACGGGUGAGUAACACGUGGAUAACCUACCUAUAAGACUGGGAUAACUUCGGGAAACCGGAGCUAAUACCGGAUAAUAUAUUGAACCGCAUGGUUCAAUAGUGAAAGACGGUUUUGCUGUCACUUAUAGAUGGAUCCGCGCCGCAUUAGCUAGUUGGUAAGGUAACGGCUUACCAAGGCAACGAUGCGUAGCCGACCUGAGAGGGGGAUCGGCCACACUGGAACUGAGACACGGUCCAGACUCCUACGGGCGGCAGCAGUAGGGAAUCUUCCGCAAUGGGCGAAAGCUUGACGGAGCAACGCCGCGUGAGUGAUGAAGGUCUUCGGAUCGUAAAACUCUGUUAUUAGUGAAGAACAAAUGUGUAAGUAACUAUGCACGUCUUGACGGUACCUAAUCAGAAAGCCACGGCUAACUACGUG
Molecule: ribosomal RNA, 497 nt
Filed under: uncultured bacterium
Lineage: Bacteria
Description: partial 16S ribosomal RNA
Rfam family: Bacterial small subunit ribosomal RNA
Source: RNAcentral